Molecule: small nuclear RNA, 109 nt
Organism: Callithrix jacchus (white-tufted-ear marmoset)
Lineage: Eukaryota; Metazoa; Chordata; Mammalia; Primates; Cebidae
Source: Ensembl
GUGCUUGCUUCGGCAGCACAUAUACUGAAAAAUUGGAACGAUGCAGAGAAGAUUAGCAUGGCCCCUGCGCAAGGAUGACACGCUAAUUUGUGAAGUGUUCCAUUAAAAA